Molecule: transfer RNA, 74 nt
Filed under: Coxiellaceae bacterium
Lineage: Bacteria; Pseudomonadati; Pseudomonadota; Gammaproteobacteria; Legionellales; Coxiellaceae
Description: tRNA-Met
Rfam family: tRNA
About the family: Transfer RNA (tRNA) molecules are approximately 80 nucleotides in length. Their secondary structure includes four short double-helical elements and three loops (D, anti-codon, and T loops). Further hydrogen bonds mediate the characteristic L-shaped molecular structure. tRNAs have two regions of fundamental functional importance: the anti-codon, which is responsible for specific mRNA codon recognition, and the 3' end, to which the tRNAs corresponding amino acid is attached (by aminoacyl-tRNA synthetases). tRNAs cope with the degeneracy of the genetic code in two manners: having more than one tRNA (with a specific anti-codon) for a particular amino acid; and 'wobble' base-pairing, i.e. permitting non-standard base-pairing at the 3rd anti-codon position.
Source: RNAcentral
GGCGGAAUGGAGAAGCCUGGUAUCUCGUCGGACUCAUAAUCCGAAGGUCGCUAGUUCAAGUCUAGCUUCCGCCA